RNAcentral lists this ribosomal RNA (231 nucleotides) under uncultured Ottowia sp. RNAcentral describes it as "partial 16S ribosomal RNA". It matches the Rfam family "Bacterial small subunit ribosomal RNA", at positions 1152 to 1382 of the family's 1533-position model. Lineage: Bacteria; Pseudomonadati; Pseudomonadota; Betaproteobacteria; Burkholderiales; Comamonadaceae. The record is from RNAcentral.
CCGGUGACAAACCGGAGGAAGGUGGGGAUGACGUCAAGUCCUCAUGGCCCUUAUAGGUGGGGCUACACACGUCAUACAAUGGCUGGUACAAAGGGUUGCCAACCCGCGAGGCGGAGCCAAUCCUGAAAGCAGGCCUCAGUUCAGAUUGCAGUCUGCAACUCGACUGCAUGAAGCCGGAGUUGCUAGUAACCGCAGGUCAGCAAUACUGCGGUGAAUACGUUCCCGGGUCUU